GAAAUGCGAUAAGUAGUGUGAAUUGCAGAAUUCAGUGAAUCAUCGAAUCUUUGAACGCACAUUGCGCCCCUUGGUAUUCCAUGGGGCAUGCCUGUUCGAGCGUCAUUUGUACCCUCAAGCUCUGCUUGGUGUUGGGUGUUUGUCCCGUCUCCGCGCGUGGACUCGCCCCAAAGUGAUUGGCAGCCGGCGUACUGGUCCCGGAGCGCAGCACAUGUCGCGCAAACGAGUGCCUUGGUACGGCGGCGUCCAUAAGCCCCUCUCUCACGCUCUUGACCUCGGAUCAGGUAGGGAUUCCCGCUGAACUUAAGC
RNAcentral lists this unclassified non-coding RNA (309 nucleotides) under plant metagenome. RNAcentral's name for it is "partial contains 5.8S ribosomal RNA, internal transcribed spacer 2, and large subunit ribosomal RNA". The stretch from base 1 to 105 matches the Rfam family "5.8S ribosomal RNA", at positions 50 to 154 of the family's 154-position model. The record is from RNAcentral.